AGCGAACGCUGGCGGCAGGCUUAACACAUGCAAGUCGAGCGCCGUAGCAAUACGGAGCGGCAGACGGGUGAGUAACGCGUGGGAACGUGCCUUCUGGUUCGGAAUAACUCAGGGAAACUUGAGCUAAUACCGGAUAAGCCCUUCGGGGGAAAGAUUUAUCGCCGGAAGAUCGGCCCGCGUAAGAUUAGCUAGUUGGUGAGGUAAUGGCUCACCAAGGCUACGAUCUUUAGCUGGUCUGAGAGGAUGAUCAGCCACACUGGGAAUGAGACGCGGCCCAGACUCCUACGGGAGGCAGCAGUGGGGAAUAGUGGACAAUGGGCGCAAGCCUGAUCCAGCCAUGCCGCGUGAGUGAUGAAGGCCUUAGGGUUGUAAAGCUCUUUUAGCAGGGACGAUAAUGACGGUACCUGCAGAAAAAGCCCCGGCCAACUUCGUGCCAGCCGCCGCGGUAA
RNAcentral lists this ribosomal RNA (449 nucleotides) under uncultured bacterium. RNAcentral's name for it is "partial 16S ribosomal RNA". It matches the Rfam family "Bacterial small subunit ribosomal RNA", at positions 29 to 523 of the family's 1533-position model. The record is from RNAcentral.